Molecule: ribosomal RNA, 490 nt
Filed under: uncultured bacterium
Lineage: Bacteria
Description: partial 16S ribosomal RNA
Rfam family: Bacterial small subunit ribosomal RNA
Source: RNAcentral
AGUGAACGCUGGCGGCAGGCCUAACACAUGCAAGUCGAACGGCAGCACAAGAGAGCUUGCUCUCUGGGUGGCGAGUGGCGGACGGGUGAGGAAUGCAUCGGAAUCUGCCCAUUUGUGGGGGAUAACCUCGGGAAACCGGGACUAAUACCGCAUACGACCUACGGGUGAAAGCAGGGGAUCUUCGGACCUUGCGCAGAUGGAUGAGCCGAUGCCGGAUUAGCUAGUUGGAGGGGUAAAGGCCCACCAAGGCGACGAUCCGUAGCUGGUCUGAGAGGAUGAUCAGCCACACUGGGACUGAGACACGGCCCAGACUCCUACGGGAGGCAGCAGUGGGGAAUAUCGGACAAUGGGCGCAAGCCUGAUCCAGCCAUGCCGCGUGUGUGAAGAAGGCCUUCGGGUUGUAAAGCACUUUUGUUGGGAAAGAAAAGCAGCCGGUUAAUACCCGGUUGUCAUGACGGUACCCAAAGAAUAAGCACCGGCUAACUUCGUG